RNAcentral lists this ribosomal RNA (510 nucleotides) under Dacus adenionis. RNAcentral describes it as "partial 16S ribosomal RNA". The stretch from base 386 to 510 matches the Rfam family "Bacterial large subunit ribosomal RNA", at positions 2473 to 2597 of the family's 2925-position model. The record is from RNAcentral. Lineage: Eukaryota; Metazoa; Arthropoda; Insecta; Diptera; Tephritidae.
GUCUUUUUGAGUUAUUUUUAAAGUCUAGCCUGCCCACUGAGUUUUAAAUGGCCGCAGUAUUCUAACUGUGCAAAGGUAGCAUAAUCAUUAGUCUUUUAAUUGAAGGCUGGUAUGAAUGGUUGGACGAGAUAUAAGCUGUUUCAUAUAUAUUUAUGUUAGAAUUUUAUUUUUUAGUUAAAAAGCUAAAAUUAAAUUAAAAGACGAGAAGACCCUAUAAAUCUUUAUAUUUUUUGUAGUUUAAAUUCAUUGAUUUUUUUUUAUUUUUGUGCAUGGAAGUAUUUUGUUGGGGUGAUAUUAAAAUUUAAUAAACUUUUAAUUGUAUUUUAUCAUUAAUUUAUGAAUUGUUGAUCCAUUAAUAGUGAUUAUGAGAUUAAGUUACUUUAGGGAUAACAGCGUAAUUUUUUUAGAGAGUUCUUAUCGAUAAAAAAGUUUGCGACCUCGAUGUUGGAUUAAGAGAUAGAAUUAGGUGUAGCUGCUUAAUUACUAAGUCUGUUCGACUUUUAAAUUCUU